RNAcentral lists this ribosomal RNA (506 nucleotides) under uncultured bacterium. Its description in RNAcentral is "partial 16S ribosomal RNA". It matches the Rfam family "Bacterial small subunit ribosomal RNA", at positions 30 to 523 of the family's 1533-position model. The record is from RNAcentral.
AUUGAACGCUGGCGGCAGGCCUAACACAUGCAAGUCGAACGGUAACAGGAAACAGCUUGCUGUUUCGCUGACGAGUGGCGGACGGGUGAGUAAUGUCUGGGAAACUGCCUGAUGGAGGGGGAUAACUACUGGAAACGGUAGCUAAUACCGCAUAACGUCGCAAGACCAAAGAGGGGGACCUUCGGGCCUCUUGCCAUCGGAUGUGCCCAGAUGGGAUUAGCUAGUAGGUGGGGUAACGGCUCACCUAGGCGAAGAUCCAUAGCUGGUCUGAGAGGAUGACCAGCCACACUGGAACUGAGACAGGGUCCAGACUCAUAAGGGAGGCAGCAGUGGGGAAUAUUGCACAAUGGGCGCAAGCCUGAUGCAGCCAUGUCGCGUGUAGGAAGAAGGCCUUCGGGUUGUAAAGUACUUUCAGCGGGGAGGAAGGGAGUAAAGUUAAUACCUUUGCUCAUUGACGUUACCCGCAGAAGAAGCACCGGCUAACUCCGUGCCAGCCGCCGCGGUAA